GGGGUAUUGGUCAAGUGGCUAAGACAUCGCACUUUCUAUGCGAAAUCAAGGGUUCGAUUCCCUUAUACCCUGCCA
This 75-nucleotide transfer RNA is filed under the name Bacillus phage vB_BcoS-136. RNAcentral's name for it is "tRNA-Glu". It matches the Rfam family "tRNA". Rfam says of the family: Transfer RNA (tRNA) molecules are approximately 80 nucleotides in length. Their secondary structure includes four short double-helical elements and three loops (D, anti-codon, and T loops). The record is from RNAcentral. Lineage: Duplodnaviria; Heunggongvirae; Uroviricota; Caudoviricetes.